GUUUGUCUCAGCAGAGGGGAACACAACCUGGAAUUUUUAUUCUUCUCUGUGCAAAGAAAAAUCAAGGAAUCAUGGAAUUAUUGAGUUUGGAAGAGACACCCAGUGAUCACUGCCUUGAGGAGCCUGUUCAGUGCCCAACCACCCUCUGGGGGAAGAACCUUUUCCUAAGUUUGGGCUGCCUGUUCCCCUCCCUGGAAACAGGAAGGAAAAACAGAGCCACCUUAAUCACCAAGCUACGUGGGGCUGGAUGCACUUCCAGGGAUCUGCUCUUACCACUGAAUGAUUCUGCCUUUCAUCUCCUCUGAACAUGGAGUUCUGAACUUCCAUCCUCAAAUUCCCGAUGGGCUACAGCAGGAAAGAUGAGUGGAACAUAAAAAACUUCAAAGACAGCUACUUCAAACUCUUGCAGACUUCCAUCUCUCCCUUCAUCACCCGUUUUCUCUCACUCUUUUGGUGUAACUCUUGGUUAAUGUUUUAAUUUCCAGCUCAAUUGGUUUUUUUUCCCCCACUUGUAGAGGAAACCAAGAGUUUUCUGACUCUGUAGUAGGUUUCCCUGCGGUCACAUGUGCAAAAUCCAAGGAAAAAGUAGGUUAAUAACCACAGAAAGGCCCUUAUGUUGCCUGACAGCUCUAGUGGGCACUUUCCAAGUGUCACUGGGUUCUUUAACCCACAGCCCCAGCACUGAUCACAUCAUAUGGGAAUGAUGAAAUUCAACCAAACUCAGCUUCCUGCAGCUUUUAUUUCUGUUUUUGUUUCCCAUUGUGCUCUGGAGGCUGACAACAGGUGAGGAAUGUUAUUUUAUGGCCUGGUUUCCAUCACUGAGCAGGUCCCCUUUGGUGGGAAAGAAAUCAUCAGGAAGAUUCCGGUUGGACUCAGACUGCCAGAGGGGAGGGCUGGAUGGGAGAUUGGGAAGGAAUUCCUCCCUGUGAGGAUGGGGAGGAGCUGGGAUGGAAUUCCCAGAGCAGCUGGGGCUGCCCCUGGAUCCCUGGCAGUGCCCAAGGCCAGGCUGGACACCGGGACAGGGGAAGGUGUCCCUGCCAUGGCAGGGGUGGCACUGGAUGAGUUUUAGGGUCCCUUCCAACCCAAACCAUUGUGGGACUCUGUAAUUGUGGUUGUGGUGAUACUGAGAGCUUUUUCCAAGGGCUGCCCCGUGGAUCUGUGGGAAAUCUCGGGGCGAGAUUCCCACUGGCACCAGUGAAACCAGACCCUGCUGCUGUUCCCAGCUCCACUAAAGUCUGUUUAAACAGAGCCAAUAAAUCCCAUCUCUCCUGGUAACCUCUAAAAGAAACUCUGAGUUCAGGUUUAAAUUAACUCCGUAAUUAGAGUGACAACAAUUAAAGAGUGCAAAUCCUUAUUUAUUUGCCCAGCUGUUACCAGCAGUGCUCAAACAUUGAGAGUUACAGAUAUCUUUUAACUUUAUCUGGGUUUGUUUGUACAACAUUCUGACUAAACAGUAACAAAGCUGGCAAAGUGUGACAUCAUCCUGUGUCAUACCUGCAGUGUGUGGGAGGGAGACAAGGGAAAUCUGAGAAUCCAAAGCCCACAGACUCCCCUGAUGAUGAGGGGAUUUGUUCCUUCCAUAACUCAGAACAUCACAAAAAAGCAAUGUAAUAUUAUGCAGUUAUUCUCAAUAAAUAUUUACAGUGAAUUUUAAGAGCCUAUUCCAAAAUGUAGACAAUUAAACCUUGAAAGGAGGCAGCCAGGAUUUGACAGAGUUAAUUUCCCACAGCUGAUUACUCAAAUUGAUUUUACUUUUACUUCGUACACAGUCACUCUCCCCUCCUUCCCAUUUUCUCUUUCCCUCAUUCCUGCUGGAAAGCAGGGAAGGUACUGGGAUCCUAACAGAGCCUUUGGGAAAACUGAUGCAAUUUUUAAACCCUUCACUAUGUAAAACCCUCCAAGGGGUGCACGAGGGUUGUGUGGUGUGGGACAGCCCUGGUGGCCUUUAGGGACAGCCACCACAUUCCCAGUGGCCCUACAGCCUGGUGGCAUCAGAAGCAGCCCUGAUGCUCCCAUUCCACAGCUGCCACAUGAGAGGGUUUUUUUCAGGAUCAGAAGAAAAUUCUGGAACUGUGCUGGCACGAUGUGAGUGCUGAGGUGGAAUCCAAAGAAUGGAUCUCUCAAUUGCAGUUCAAAAUGGAGUCAGCUGUUAUUAGCCCACGAUAAUUGCACCAGCAUCAAAGAUGGGUGAGAAAAGAUAAAAGGAGCUCUGCACAAAGUUACAGUUUUCAAAUAAAAGAAUGUGCUUAAGCACCAUUUUCCUGCACACCAGUAAGUCUCUGCUUUGAAGGAUCUGUUUAAUUAUCUCCUUUGUUUAAACCCUUGAGGGUGCCAAUUCAAGAGCGUUUUAGGGAAGAGCACUCCCAGAAAAAUCAAAAAACUUCUGGCAAAAAGUCAAUUCCACUUGUAUUUUUAAAUAUACCACUCUCAAAAGUGUAGUCACUUUGGGUUUUGGUUCCCAUCAAAACAUCCAUGCAGAAUGGAAAUGGAGUGGGGGAAAACAUCACCUCCAGGAGCAUUAUUGGGAUUUCAGCUCCACAGAGAGCACGGGGCAGGGUAGGAACCCUGUCAGCAAUUAAGGAAUAAUGAAUCCACCAGAAUAAUGGAUAUUGAUUAGGGACAUUUCUUUCUGAUAAAAUGAGGAGAGUCAGCAAAAGGCAGAGAUGUUCAACCUAAUUAUAGUAUGAGCUGAGACAAAG
This is a long non-coding RNA of Passer domesticus (house sparrow), 2699 nucleotides long. RefSeq lists it as uncharacterized. The transcript has 3 exons. NCBI's taxonomy places the organism in Eukaryota, Metazoa, Chordata, Aves, Passeriformes, Passeridae. The record is from RefSeq and is a predicted model, not a curated record.